RNAcentral lists this ribosomal RNA (277 nucleotides) under uncultured bacterium. RNAcentral describes it as "partial 16S ribosomal RNA". It matches the Rfam family "Bacterial small subunit ribosomal RNA", at positions 32 to 306 of the family's 1533-position model. The record is from RNAcentral.
GGACAACGCUGGCGGCGUGCCUAAUGCAUGCAAGUCGGACGGGAGCCGCGGAAGCGGUCGACCGUGGCGGACGGGUGCGGAACACGUGGGGAACCUGCCCUGGCGUGGGGGACAACCCUGGGAAACUGGGGCUAAUCCCGCAUACGCUCCUCUGGUGGUAGGCUGGGGGAGGAAAGGCCGGACGGUCGCGCUGGGAGGGCCCUGCGGCCUAUCAGCUCGACGGUGUGGUAACGGCGCACCGUGGCGAUGACGGGUCGCUGGUCUGAGAGGACGGCCA